This is a non-coding RNA of Vombatus ursinus (common wombat), 69 nucleotides long. The record is from Ensembl. NCBI's taxonomy places the organism in Eukaryota, Metazoa, Chordata, Mammalia, Diprotodontia, Vombatidae.
GAGAAAGUCAUAGAGGUUAUGGAGUUGACUUGAAAUCAAUUUUAGGGGGUUCAAUUCCUCCCUUUCUUG